Molecule: ribosomal RNA, 465 nt
Filed under: uncultured bacterium
Lineage: Bacteria
Description: partial 16S ribosomal RNA
Rfam family: Bacterial small subunit ribosomal RNA
Source: RNAcentral
GACGAACGCUUGCGGCGUGCUUAACACAUGCAAGUCGAACGGAAAGGCCCCUUUUGGGGUACUCGAGUGGCGAACGUGUGAGUAACACGUGAGUAACCUGCCCUUGACUUCGGGAUAACUUCAGGAAACUGGGGCUAAUACCGGCUAGGCAUCCUUGCUGCAUGGUGGGGGUUGGAAAGCUUCGGCGGUUUUGGCUGGACUCGCGGCUUAUCAGCUUGUUGGUGGGGUAGUGGCUUACCAAGGCUUUGACGGGUAGCCGGCCUGAGAGGGCGACCGGCCACAAUGGGACUGAGAUACGGCCCAGACUCCUACGGGAGGCAGCAGUGGGGAAUAUUGCACAAUGGGCGGAAGCCAGAUGCAGCAACGCCGCGUGCGGGAUGACGGACGUCGGGUUGUAAACCGCUUGCAGCAGGGGCGAAGCUUGAGGUGACGGUACCUGCAGAAGAAGCACCGGCUAACUAAGUG